CUGUUGCUCCUAGAUUGAUUUUGAUGAUUACAAAGCAGAUUGAAGGGAUACAAAUAAUUUUAAAUUGAAAAAGUCCUUAUGCUCUUCAAGGGCAAAAUUAUAAUUUCACUAAAAUUCUGAUUUGAUAGUAUCAUUUGAUAGAACAAAUGAUUUGUAAACUAUUGGUGAAAAUUUUAUUGUAUUUGGACUUAUAUUUUUGAUGUUAUGA
This 208-nucleotide long non-coding RNA is filed under the name Elaeis guineensis (African oil palm). RNAcentral's name for it is "long non-coding RNA (EGUI_LNC073424)". The record is from RNAcentral. Lineage: Eukaryota; Viridiplantae; Streptophyta; Magnoliopsida; Arecales; Arecaceae.